GCCGGGAUAGCUCAGUUGGUAGAGCAGAGGACUGAAAAUCCUCGUGUCCGCGGUUCAAGUCCGCGUCCUGGCA
This 73-nucleotide transfer RNA is filed under the name Cyanobacteria bacterium FACHB-502. It matches the Rfam family "tRNA". Rfam says of the family: Transfer RNA (tRNA) molecules are approximately 80 nucleotides in length. Their secondary structure includes four short double-helical elements and three loops (D, anti-codon, and T loops). RNAcentral also lists the same sequence under 4 other names. The record is from Rfam by way of RNAcentral. Lineage: Bacteria; Bacillati; Cyanobacteriota.